UCUCAUUCAAUCUCAUUCACGGCCGCUUCUCUUCUCUUUGUGACCUAAAUUCUUCACCAUUUCUUCUCAUCUCUCCCUUGAAAUCAAUCUACAUCAGUUAGAUUAAAUUUGCAUCUCUCUUCUUCACACGCCAAAUAAACCCUAACUUGCAUCCUCUUCCUCUUCCUCUUCCCUUCGUUCAACUCGAGAAAACAUUGUCAAUACGCUACAUUCAAACUUCACCAACCCCGAUCAUCUCUAAAGUCUCACCGUUUCAUCAAUGUGCAAUGAAAGUGUAUAUGAAGUAAUUACAGAUGAUAAUCGUGAGAGGACCAUGAUCUUUAUAAGGAACAAAGAAAAUUUGAAUGUUUUGAUCGAGACCAAAGGUGGGAAGAAGUCUACCAUUAGUAAUUCCUUUUAUGAAGCUCCAUUGUUGGUGUUAAUUUCUGUUUAAAACCAUGGCUGAAAUUACGUUUUUCGAGCCCAACAUCUUCACUGACCCUGAAGGUCAAGGUCUCCAGGCUUUACCAAAGCCCAAGUGGAUGAGAUCUUGAACCCUGCUGAAUGCACAAUUGUCUCUUCAUUGUCGAAUGAGCAUGUAGACUCUUAUGUUCUAUCCGAACCGAGUCGGUUUGUGUUCCCUUACAAAAUCGUUAUCAAAACUUGUGUAACCACUAGACUGCUGCUCUCGAUAUCGGCUAUUCUCAAGCUGGUGGAAUCGAUUUCGCUUAUUGUCCAGUCAACAAGAUACACACGCGGUUGCUUUAUCUUUCCCAGUGCUCAAUCGUACCCUCACCGCAGCUUCACCGAAGAAGUUUCAGUGCUGGAUGGUCAUUUUGAAAAGCAUGGUUUAGCCAGCAAAGAGUGAUGUAAUUUCAGUUUUUUAGGUAAUGGCAAAGGUGCUGCAACUUCUUAAUAUGUUAUGCGAAUUGCACCAUAUGUUCAGAAGCAAAAACUCAUAUCCAAUGGGCUCCAAGCGACUUGACUUCGGUGACGGCGCUAGCCCCGGGAAGAUUUUAUCGGUGGUUUAGCGAAGGAUACUACCAUAGAUACAUUUGUUAAGUACUUUGGAAAGUAUGGAGACCUUACGGACUCGGUUAUUAUAAAUGAUCGACAGACCGGUCGGCUGAGGGGCUUCUGGUUUGUUACGUAUGCGGAUCCUUCGGUUGUUGACAUUGUUAUUGCUGAGACACAUGUUAUUAAUGGGAAACAAGUUGAAGAAGAUAAUAAAAUGAAUGAAUGUUUCAAGAAGGGCAAGAAAAGAUGAUAAAACAUGGUUUGUGGACAUUCCAUUCAUCUGGAUUGCUACAGGAAGUUGAUUGACCAGGAUUAGUUAUUUCACAAUCCUUUUAUGGAUUUUCACUUUUUCUAAAAUGGUUUAUUUUCUAUGGGUGCAGAAUUGUAGUUUAUGGAUGCUAAUUUCUUCGUCUUCCAGAUACCAGUGUCCCAUAUGCUCAAGAUCGGUGUCUAAUACGUCCAAAAUAUGGCAAAGGUUAGACCAAGAGGGCGUGAGGCGGAAGAGGUUGAGCCCAUACUAGAUGCAUUGCCGAAUCUAGAACAGUACAUAUACCGCUCUUCAGCCGGUGUUUACCUUAAAUCCGAUAUUUUACCACAUCGUGAGGUUCGUUUUUUGAACAUUUUUUAAACAACCUUUUACUGGGAAGCUCAAGACCGAGGACUUACUACAGUCAAAGGGUGUCAACUACACUUCUAUAAGGCCCGUUUAUAUUUACGACCCGUUGAACUACAACCAUAUCGAAGAGUGACUUUUCCAUAGGUUGAAAGCGGGCCGACUCAUCCCCAUUCCCAACUCAGGUUUGCAAGUAACCCAACUCGGUCACGUAAAGCUUUUAUAAAAGUUUUGGGGAAUGAAAAAGCAAGCAAACAAGUGUACAACAUUUUAGGAGAUAGAUAUGUUACUUUCGAUGGAUUAGCAAGAGCUUGUGCUAAGGCUGGUGGAUUCCCUGAGCCCAAGAUCAUUCACUAUAAUCCCAAGGAGUUCCAUUACGGUAAAAAGAAAGCAUUUCCAUUCCAGAACCAGAUAUGCAAUGAUAAAGAUCAAGCAAAUUCAUGGUUUCGUGGCUUAAAACUGUACUUUACUCGCUUUGUUGUUUUAAAAUUAAGGAAUUUUGGCUUGAGUUGUAGUCAUAGUUUAAUAAAUUUUGGCCUUAUUGAGUUUUUAAACUAUAAUUUGUUUAACCAAGUGAUAUUAAGCCUAUAAUAAUUGUUU
This 2209-nucleotide long non-coding RNA is filed under the name Helianthus annuus (common sunflower). Lineage: Eukaryota; Viridiplantae; Streptophyta; Magnoliopsida; Asterales; Asteraceae. The record is from RNAcentral.